UACGUAGGUGGCGAGCGUUAUCCGGAAUUAUUGGGCGUAAAGGGUGCGCAGGCGGAGGACAAAGUCCAUGGUGAAAGAGCGGGGCUCAACCCCGUAAAGCCAUGGAUACUGGUCUUCUAGAGUACUGGAGAGGGAAGCGGAAUUCCAUGUGUAGCGGUAAAAUGCGUAGAUAUAUGGAGGAACACCGGAGGCGAAGGCGGCUUCCUGGACAGAUACUGACGCUCAGGCACGAAAGCGUGGGGAGC
Molecule: ribosomal RNA, 245 nt
Filed under: uncultured Erysipelotrichaceae bacterium
Lineage: Bacteria; Bacillati; Bacillota; Erysipelotrichia; Erysipelotrichales; Erysipelotrichaceae
Description: partial 16S ribosomal RNA
Rfam family: Bacterial small subunit ribosomal RNA
Source: RNAcentral